Molecule: non-coding RNA, 108 nt
Organism: Acanthosepion pharaonis
Lineage: Eukaryota; Metazoa; Mollusca; Cephalopoda; Sepiida; Sepiidae
Source: the annotation of a GenBank genome assembly
GCCAUAUCACGUUAAAAUACCAGUUCUCGUACGAUCAGCGAAGUUAAGCAACAUUGGGUCUGGUCAGUACCUUGAUGAGUGACCAUUUGGCAAUACCAGGUGCUGUAA